Molecule: ribosomal RNA, 253 nt
Filed under: uncultured bacterium
Lineage: Bacteria
Description: partial 16S ribosomal RNA
Rfam family: Bacterial small subunit ribosomal RNA
Source: RNAcentral
UACGUAGGGUCCGAGCGUUGUCCGGAAUUAUUGGGCGUACAGGGCUCGUAGGCGGUCUGUUGCGUCGGGAGUGAAAACUUACAGCUUAACUGUGAGCGUGCUUUCGAUACGGGCAGACUUGAGGCAUUCAGGGGAGAACGGAAUUCCUGGUGUAGCGGUGAAAUGCGCAGAUAUCAGGAGGAACACCGGUGGCGAAGGCGGGUCUCUGGGCCGUAACUGACGCUGAGGAGCGAAAGCGUGGGGAGCGAACAGG